GUGGGGAAUCUUGCACAAUGGAGGAAACUCUGAUGCAGCGACGCCGCGUGCGCGAUGAAGCCCUUCGGGGUGUAAAGCGCUUUCGACCGGAACGAUAAUGACGGUACCGGGAGAAGAAGCUGCGGCUAACUACGUGCCAGCAGCCGCGGUAAUACGUAGGCAGCAAGCGUUGUUCGGAGUUACUGGGCGUAAAGAGUCUGUAGGCGGUGUCCUAAGUUUGGUGUGAAAUCUCCCGGCUUAACCGGGAGGGUGCGCCGAAGACUGGGAUGCUGGAGUAUGGGAGAGGAACGCGGAAUUCCUGGUGUAGCGGUGAAAUGCGUAGAUAUCAGGAGGAACACCGGUGGUGUAGACGGCGUUCUGGACCAUGACUGACGCUGAGAGACGAAAGCGUGGGGAGCAAACAGG
Molecule: ribosomal RNA, 405 nt
Filed under: uncultured Bryobacter sp.
Lineage: Bacteria; Pseudomonadati; Acidobacteriota; Terriglobia; Bryobacterales; Bryobacteraceae
Description: bacterial SSU rRNA
Rfam family: Bacterial small subunit ribosomal RNA
Source: RNAcentral